This 424-nucleotide ribosomal RNA is filed under the name Verrucomicrobiota bacterium. Its description in RNAcentral is "Verrucomicrobia bacterium partial 16S ribosomal RNA". It matches the Rfam family "Bacterial small subunit ribosomal RNA", at positions 355 to 776 of the family's 1533-position model. The record is from RNAcentral. Lineage: Bacteria; Pseudomonadati; Verrucomicrobiota.
UGAGGAAUAUUGGUCAAUGGACGCAAGUCUGAACCAGCCAAGUAGCGUGCAGGAUGACGGCCCUUUGGGUUGUAAACUGCUUUUAUAUGGGGAUAAAGUGGGGAACGUGUUCCCUUUUGCAGGUACCAUAUGAAUAAGGACCGGCUAAUUCUGUGCCAGCAGCCGCGGUAAUACGGAAGGUUCGGGCGUUAUCCGGACUUAUUGGGUUUAAAGGGAGCGUAGGCCGUUUGGUAAGCGUGUUGUGAAAUGUAGGAGCUCAACUUCUAGAGUGCAGCGCGAACUGUCAGACUUGAGUGCGCACAACGUAGGCGGAAUUCAUGGUGUAGCGGUGAAAUGCUUAGAUAUCAUGAAGAACUCCGAUUGCGAAGGCAGCGUACGGGAGCGAAACUGACGCUGAAGCUCGAAGGGGCGGGUAUCGAACAGG